RNAcentral lists this long non-coding RNA (218 nucleotides) under Monodelphis domestica (gray short-tailed opossum). RNAcentral describes it as "lncRNA (ENSMODG00000046876.1)". Lineage: Eukaryota; Metazoa; Chordata; Mammalia; Didelphimorphia; Didelphidae. The record is from RNAcentral.
AGGGCUCUGUGCUAAGUGCUUUCUAAUUAUUUUUUCAUUUAUUUUUCACAGUAACCUCAGCACGUAUGUGUUAUUAUUAUCCCCAUUUUAUAAAUGAGGAAACAAGCCAAUUUAGGUGAAGUACCUUGCCCAGGGUCACAAAAUUGUGGAUCAUUGCCAGGUAUGAAGAGGAAAUGGAUCUCAUUUUUGGUGAGAAAGCCUUGCAUUCCAUAUUUUCU